RNAcentral lists this ribosomal RNA (498 nucleotides) under uncultured bacterium. Its description in RNAcentral is "partial 16S ribosomal RNA". It matches the Rfam family "Bacterial small subunit ribosomal RNA", at positions 30 to 523 of the family's 1533-position model. The record is from RNAcentral.
AUUGAACGCUGGCGGCAUGCUUUACACAUGCAAGUCGAACGGCAGCGCGGGGCAACCUGGCGGCGAGUGGCGAACGGGUGAGUAAUAUAUCGGAACGUACCCAGAAGUGGGGGAUAACGUAGCGAAAGUUACGCUAAUACCGCAUACGAUCUACGGAUGAAAGUGGGGGACCUUCGGGCCUCAUGCUUGUGGAGCGGCCGAUAUCUGAUUAGCGAGUUGGUGAGGUAAAGGCUCACCAAGGCGACGAUCAGUAGCUGGUCUGAGAGGACGACCAGCCACACUGGGACUGGGACACGGCCCGGACGCCUACGGGAGGCAGCAGUGGGGAAUUUUGGACAAUGGGCGCAAGCCUGAUCCAGCAAUGCCGCGUGAGUGAAGAAGGCCUUCGGGUUGUAAAGCUCUUUUGUCAGGGAAGAAACGGCUUGGGCUAAUAUCCUGGGCUAAUGACGGUACCUGAAGAAUAAGCACCGGCUAACUACGUGCCAGCCGCCGCAGUAA